This 253-nucleotide ribosomal RNA is filed under the name uncultured bacterium. RNAcentral's name for it is "partial 16S ribosomal RNA". It matches the Rfam family "Bacterial small subunit ribosomal RNA", at positions 524 to 776 of the family's 1533-position model. The record is from RNAcentral.
GACAGAGGGUGCAAACGUUGCUCGGAAUUACUGGGCGUAAAGCGCGUGUAGGUGGAUUGGUGUGUCAGAUGUGAAAGCCCUGGGCUCAACCCAGGAACUGCACCUGAAACUACCAGUCUUGAGUGGUGGAGAGGGAAGUGGAAUUCCUGGUGUAGAGGUGAAAUUCGUAGAUAUCAGGAGGAACACCAGUGGCGAAGGCGGCUUCCUGGACACUAACUGACGCUGAGACGCGAAAGCGUGGGGAGCGAACAGG